UAAUAAGCUAUUAAGGGCUAAUGGUGGAUGCCUAGACUGUAAGAGGCGAUGAAAGACGUAUUAGGCUGCGAUAAGCCUCGGGGAGCUGCCAAAGAGCUUUGAUCCGGGGAUUUCUGAAUGGGGCAACCCAGCAUAGUGAGAGCUAUGUUACCCUACGGGGAGCUAACCUGGUGAAGUGAAACAUCUCAGUAGCCAGAGGAAGAGAAAUCAAACGAGAUUCCGUCAGUAGCGGCGAGCGAAAGCGGAUUAGGACAAACCCAAUGCUUGCAUUGGGGGUUGUAGGACCAUGAUAUGAGACUAAAGAAGAUAGAUGAAAUACUUGGAAAAGUGUAGCAUAGAAGGUGAAACUCCUGUAAUUUAAAUUUUCAAUAGCUCUAAUGGUAUCCUGAGUAGGUCGGAACACGUGAUAUUUUGACUGAAACUGGGGGGACCACCCUCCAAUCCUAAAUACUACUUACAGAUCGAUAGUGAACAAGUACCGUGAGGGAAAGGUGAAAAGUACUCCAGCGAGGAGAGUGAAAUAGAACCUGAAACCAUUAGCUUACAAUCAUUCAGAGCCCUAUGAUUUAUCAGGGUGAUGGACUGCCUUUUGCAUAAUGAGCCUGCGAGUUGUGGUGUCUGGCAAGGUUAAGUCAAGUACGAAGCCGUAGCGAAAGCGAGUCUUAAUAGGGCGAAUUAGUCAGAUGCUGCAGACCCGAAACGAAGUGAUCUAUCCAUGAGCAGGUUGAAGCUGGUGUAAGAGCCAGUGGAGGACCGAACCCAUAGGCGUUGAAAAGUCUCGGGAUGACUUGUGGAUAGGGGUGAAAGGCCAAUCAAACUUCGUGAUAGCUGGUUCUCUCCGAAAUAUAUUUAGGUAUAGCCUUGUGUUGUAGCAUAUAGGGGUAGAGCACUGAAUGGGCUAGGGCUGCUUACCGCGGUACCAAACCCUAUCAAACUAUGAAUACUAUAUGUGGAAUCACAGGAGUCAGGCGAUGGGUGAUAAAAUCCACCGUCGAGAGGGGAACAACCCAGACUAACAGCUAAGGUCCCUAAGUCACAUCUAAGUGGAAAACGAUGUGGAGUUACUGUGACAACCAGGAGGUUGGCUUAGAAGCAGCCAUCCUUUAAAGAAAGCGUAACAGCUCACUGGUCUAG
RNAcentral lists this ribosomal RNA (1134 nucleotides) under Deltaproteobacteria bacterium HGW-Deltaproteobacteria-24. RNAcentral's name for it is "bacterial LSU rRNA". It matches the Rfam family "Bacterial large subunit ribosomal RNA", at positions 1 to 1153 of the family's 2925-position model. Lineage: Bacteria; Deltaproteobacteria. The record is from RNAcentral.